GACGAACGCUGGCGGCGUGCCUAAUACAUGCCAGUAGAACGCACAGUUUAUACCGUAGCUUGCUACACCAUAGACUGUGAGUUGCGAACGGGUGAGUAACGCGUAGGUAACCUGCCUGGUAGCGGGGGAUAACUAUUGGAAACGAUAGCUAAUACCGCAUAAUAUUAAUUAUUGCAUGAUAAUUAAUUGAAAGGUGCAAUUGCACCACUACCAGAUGGACCUGCGUUGUAUUAGCUAGUAGGUGAGGUAACGGCUCACCUAGGCGACGAUACAUAGCCGACCUGAGAGGGUGAUCGGCCACACUGGGACUGAGACACGGCCCAGACUCCUACGGGAGGCAGCAGUAGGGAAUCUUCGGCAAUGGACGAAAGUCUGACCGAGCAACGCCGCGUGAGUGAAGAAGGGUUUCGGAUCGUAAAGCUCUGUUGUAAGAGAAGAACGGGUGUGAGAGUGGAAAGUUCACACUGUGACGGUAUCUUACCAGAAAGGGACGGCUAACUACGUG
RNAcentral lists this ribosomal RNA (505 nucleotides) under uncultured bacterium. Its description in RNAcentral is "partial 16S ribosomal RNA". It matches the Rfam family "Bacterial small subunit ribosomal RNA", at positions 28 to 507 of the family's 1533-position model. The record is from RNAcentral.